Molecule: non-coding RNA, 72 nt
Organism: Macaca mulatta (Rhesus monkey)
Lineage: Eukaryota; Metazoa; Chordata; Mammalia; Primates; Cercopithecidae
Source: Rfam
CAAGUACUGGUCUCAGCAGAUUGAGGAGAGCACCACAGUGGUCACCACACAGUCUGCCGAGGUUGGAGCUGC